This 99-nucleotide ribosomal RNA is filed under the name Enterococcus faecalis. RNAcentral describes it as "partial 16S ribosomal RNA". It matches the Rfam family "Bacterial small subunit ribosomal RNA", at positions 1436 to 1533 of the family's 1533-position model. The record is from RNAcentral. Lineage: Bacteria; Bacillati; Bacillota; Bacilli; Lactobacillales; Enterococcaceae. RNAcentral also lists the same sequence under 1 other name.
UAACCUUUUUGGAGCCAGCCGCCUAAGGUGGGAUAGAUGAUUGGGGUGAAGUCGUAACAAGGUAGCCGUAUCGGAAGGUGCGGCUGGAUCACCUCCUUU